AGAAAAUAUUGCUAGCUAAUUCCCCUCUAAGUGGCCGGCCUCUUUAGAGAAAAUGAGAGAAAGUGUUUCACCUCAUUUCACCAAGAAAAACCCUAAUUAGAAAUAAAGCUAUAAAGUUGAUUUUAUACUUCAUUUCAAGUGAGUGGCAAACUUGUAAUUAAUCCAAGUUUGCUACCCUCACUCUUAUGGCCGGCCUUACCUUUGUUAUUGGGCUAAUUGCCCAUUUUGUUUUAGUUGUCAUACAACUUAAACAUA
This 255-nucleotide long non-coding RNA is filed under the name Malus domestica (apple). Its description in RNAcentral is "long non-coding RNA (MDOM_LNC010000)". The record is from RNAcentral. Lineage: Eukaryota; Viridiplantae; Streptophyta; Magnoliopsida; Rosales; Rosaceae.